GAUGAACGCUGGCGGCGCGCUUAACACAUGCAAGUCGAACGGAAAGGCCCAAGCUUGCUUGGGUCCUCGAGUGGCGAACGGGUGAGUAACACGUGGGUGAUCUGCCCUGCACUUCGGGAUAAGCCUGGGAAACUGGGUCUAAUACCGGAUAGGACCACUUCUUGGAUGUUGUGGUGGAAAGUUUUUUCGGUGUGGGAUGAGCUCGCGGCCUAUCAGCUUGUUGGUGGGGUAAUGGCCUACCAAGGCGUCGACGGGUAGCCGGCCUGAGAGGGUGUACGGCCACAUUGGGACUGAGAGACGGCCCAGACUCCUACGGGAGGCAGCAGUGGGGAAUAUUGCACAAUGGGCGCAAGCCUGAUGCAGCGACGCCGCGGGGGGGAGGACGGCCUUCGGGUUGUAAACGCCUUUCGCUAGGGACGAAGCGUUUUGUGACGGUACCUGGAGAAGAAGCACCGGCUAACUACGUG
This 467-nucleotide ribosomal RNA is filed under the name uncultured bacterium. RNAcentral's name for it is "partial 16S ribosomal RNA". It matches the Rfam family "Bacterial small subunit ribosomal RNA", at positions 28 to 507 of the family's 1533-position model. The record is from RNAcentral.